UGGCUCUCGCAUCGAUGAAGAACGCAGCGAAAUGCGAUAAGUAAUGUGAAUUGCAGAAUUCAGUGAAUCAUCGAAUCUUUGAACGCACCUUGCGCUCCUUGGUAUUCCGAGGAGCAUGCCUGUUUGAGUGUCAUGAAAUUCUCAACUGCCUUUUAGCAUUUAUGUUAAGGGUGAAGUUGGAGUUGGAGGAUAAUUGCUGGCGCAACUGAGGUUGCUUGUUGGCUCCUCUUGAAUGAAUGAGUUUUUCUGAUGGAUCAUAGCUCAGUAACACUAAUGUGAUAAUUAUCUACGUUAGAUGUGAAGAGGCUCCUACAGAAAAGGUGUAUCUUGGGGAUAACAAACCCUUGACUUUGACAAAUCUGACCUCAAAUCAGGUAGGACUACCCGCUGA
RNAcentral lists this unclassified non-coding RNA (391 nucleotides) under uncultured fungus. RNAcentral describes it as "partial contains 5.8S ribosomal RNA and internal transcribed spacer 2". The stretch from base 1 to 133 matches the Rfam family "5.8S ribosomal RNA", at positions 22 to 154 of the family's 154-position model. Lineage: Eukaryota; Fungi. The record is from RNAcentral.